AUUUGCCUUUUAAUUGGAGGCUUGUAUGAACGGACACACGAAAACGCAACUUUCUUAUCGAGGAAAAUAAAAAUUAACCUUCAAGUGAAGAGACUUGAGUACCAUAAAAAGACGAAAAGACCCUAUGGAGCUUUACUUAAGUUAUUAAACCACAAAUAAAAAAAGCUUUUUUUACUAAAAAAGUUUAGUUGGGGCGACUAAGGAGCACACACCACCCUCCUACUGACAAAAGACUCUAAAUCUACAAAAGAUCCACAAACGUGAAUAAAAAUCCAGCUACCCUAGGGAUAACAGGCUAAUCCUCCUUAAGAGCUCAAAUUGACAGGAGGGCUUGGCACCUCGAUGUUGGCUUAAGAUCUCUACUAAGUGCAGCAGCUUAGGUAGUAGGUUUGUUCAACCUUUAAAAUCUU
Molecule: ribosomal RNA, 410 nt
Filed under: Aurospio cf. dibranchiata TMG-2019
Lineage: Eukaryota; Metazoa; Annelida; Polychaeta; Spionida; Spionidae
Description: partial large subunit ribosomal RNA
Rfam family: Bacterial large subunit ribosomal RNA
Source: RNAcentral